Molecule: ribosomal RNA, 404 nt
Filed under: uncultured bacterium
Lineage: Bacteria
Description: bacterial SSU rRNA
Rfam family: Bacterial small subunit ribosomal RNA
Source: RNAcentral
GGGGAAUAUUGGGCAAUGGGCGCAAGCCUGACCCAGCAACGCCGCGUGAGGGAAGAAGGUUUUCGGAUUGUAAACCUCUGUCGCAGGGGACGAAGGAAGUGACGGUACCCUGUAAGAAAGCCCCGGCUAACUACGUGCCAGCAGCCGCGGUAAUACGUAGGGGGCGAGCGUUGUCCGGAAUUACUGGGCGUAAAGGGAGCGUAGGCGGUCGAUUAAGUUAGAUGUGAAACCCCCGGGCUUAACUUGGGGACUGCAUCUAAGACUGGUUGACUUAGAGUACAGGAGAGGGAAGCGGAAUUCCUAGUGUAGCGGUGAAAUGCGUAGAUAUUAGGAGGAACACCAGUGGCGAAGGCGGCUUUCUGGACUGACACUGACGCUGAGGCUCGAAAGCGUGGGGAGCAAAC